GCCYAGGAAUCUGCCUGGUAGUGGGGGAUAACGUUCGGAAACGAACGCUAAUACCGCAACGUCCUACGGGAGAAAGCAGGGGACCUUCGGGCCUUGCGCUAUCAGAUGAGCCUAGGUCGGAUUAGCUAGUUGGUGAGGUAAUGGCUCACCAAGGCRACRAUCCGUAACUGGUCUGAGAGGAUGAUCAGUCACACUGGAACUGARACACGGUCCAGACUCCUACGGGAGGCAGCAGUGGGGAAUAUUGGACAAUGGGCGAAAGCCUGAUCCAGCCAUGCCGCGUGUGUGAARAAGGUCUUCGGAUUGUAAAGCACUUUAAGUUGGGAGGAAGGGCAGUUACCUAAUACGUGAUUGUUUUGACGUUACCGACARAAUAAGCACCGGCUAACUCUGUGCCASCAGCCGCGGUAAUACAGAGGGUGCAAGCGUUAAUCGGAAUUACUGGGCGUAAAGCGCGCGUAGGUGGUUUGUUAAGUUGGAUGUGAAAUCCCCGGGCUCAACCUGGGAACUGCAUUCAAAACUGACUGACUAGAGUAUGGUAGAGGGUGGUGGAAUUUCCUGUGUAGCGGUGAAAUGCGUAUAUAUAGGAAGGAACACCAGUGGCGAAGGCGACCACCUGGACKAAUACUGACACUGAGGUGCAAGAGCGUGGGGAGCAAACAAGAUUASAUACCCUGGUAGUCCACGCCGUAUACAAYGUCAACUAGCCGUUGUAAGCCUUGAGCUUUUAUUGUCGCAGCUAA
RNAcentral lists this ribosomal RNA (743 nucleotides) under Pseudomonas sp. RNAcentral describes it as "bacterial SSU rRNA". It matches the Rfam family "Bacterial small subunit ribosomal RNA", at positions 115 to 855 of the family's 1533-position model. Lineage: Bacteria; Pseudomonadati; Pseudomonadota; Gammaproteobacteria; Pseudomonadales; Pseudomonadaceae. The record is from RNAcentral.